This 482-nucleotide transfer-messenger RNA is filed under the name Patescibacteria group. RNAcentral describes it as "UBA1450 sp000990445 Standard tmRNA". It matches the Rfam family "transfer-messenger RNA". Rfam says of the family: Bacterial tmRNA, also known as 10Sa RNA or SsrA, is named for its dual tRNA and mRNA-like properties. The record is from RNAcentral.
GGGGAUGACAAGGUCUCGACGUGAAGAUUUGCACAUUGAUAAAUGGCAAGAGCGCACCAAUGCGUUAAAUGGAAAACUCUAUCUGCAAACUCUAAAUUUGAGAAUGCAGUAGCUAGUUUGAAAGCUGGCAUUCGAGCUGGUCUCGAUGGUGCUGCAGCUGAUUUUGCUACCCUCACAGGUGCACGUCAGUAUGCGACCUUAAAUGCAUAAGCGCAUAUUAGCUAUUCCCUUUGAAUAACCUCCGAUAGUUCUUAGGGGUACAACCUUCGGGGUACGAUCCUGGAUGUAGUUCUCGAUCUGUUUUCAGGGUCCGACAAGAAUUAAAAUCGGCAGCCUGAUUGUGGUUUGUAUGCAUUCCACAUCAAGCACGAGAAAAAAACAUACUAUCUCUUCCGCUAAAAGCGGAUCCGCCUCUGGCGGAUGCUACACAUUUUUCAAAAGUGCCUUUACGGACCCGGGUUCGACUCCCGGCAUCUCCACUU